Molecule: ribosomal RNA, 497 nt
Filed under: uncultured bacterium
Lineage: Bacteria
Description: partial 16S ribosomal RNA
Rfam family: Bacterial small subunit ribosomal RNA
Source: RNAcentral
GAUGAACGCUGGCGGCGUGCCUAAUACAUGCAAGUCGAGCGAACGGACGAGAUGCUUGCUUCUCUGAUGUUAGCGGCGGACGGGUUAGUAACACGUGGAUAACCUACCUAUAAGACUGGGAUCACUUCGGGAACCCGUAGCUCAUACCGGAUAAUAUUUUGAACCGCAUGGUUCAAAAGUGAAAGACGGUCUUGCUGUCACUUAUAGAUGGAUCCGCGCUGCAUUAGCUAGUUGGUAAGGUAACGGCUUACCAAGGCAACGAUGCAUAGCCGACCUGAGAGGGUGAUCGGCCACACUGGAACUGAGACACGGUCCAGACUCCUACGGGAGGCAGCAGUAGGGAAUCUUCCGCAAUGGGCGAAAGCCUGACGGAGCAACGCCGCGUGAGUGAUGAAGGUCUUCGGAUCGUAAAAUGCUGUUAUUAGGAAAGAACAGAUGUGUAAGUAACUGUGCACAUCUUGACGGUACCUAAUCAGAAAGCCACGGCUAACUACGUG